UAGGGAAUCUUCGGCAAUGGGGGGAACCCUGACCGAGCAACGCCGCGUGAGUGAAGAAGGUUUUCGGAUCGUAAAGCUCUGUUGUUAAGGAAGAACGAGUGUGAGAAUGGAAAGUUCAUGCUGUGACGGUACUUAACCAGAAAGGGACGGCUAACUACGUGCCAGCAGCCGCGGUAAUACGUAGGUCCCGAGCGUUGUACGGAUUUAUUGGGCGUAAAGCGAGCGCAGGCGGUUAGAAAAGUCUGAAGUGAAAGGCAGUGGCUCAACCAUUGUAGGCUUUGGAAACUGUUUAACUUGAGUGCAGAAGGGGAGAGUGGAAUUCCAUGUGUAACGGUGAAAUGCGUAGAUAUAUGGAGGAACACCGGUGGCGAAAGCGGCUCUCUGGUCUGUAACUGACGCUGAGGCUCGAAAGCGUGGGGAGCGAACAGG
RNAcentral lists this ribosomal RNA (429 nucleotides) under Bacteroidota bacterium. RNAcentral describes it as "Bacteroidetes bacterium partial 16S ribosomal RNA". It matches the Rfam family "Bacterial small subunit ribosomal RNA", at positions 355 to 776 of the family's 1533-position model. Lineage: Bacteria; Pseudomonadati; Bacteroidota. The record is from RNAcentral.